This 321-nucleotide ribosomal RNA is filed under the name Pavlova sp. CCMP459. RNAcentral's name for it is "partial Bacterial large subunit ribosomal RNA". It matches the Rfam family "Bacterial large subunit ribosomal RNA", at positions 523 to 845 of the family's 2925-position model. The record is from RNAcentral. Lineage: Eukaryota; Haptophyta; Pavlovophyceae; Pavlovales; Pavlovaceae.
ACCCCGAAUAGGGGAGUGAAAUAGUACCUGAAACCGUACGCCUACAAGCGGUCGGAGCUAGCAAUAGUGACGGCGUGCCUUUUGCAUAAUGAGCCUACGAGUUACUCCUCACUGGCAAGGUUAAGUUCUUAAUUAACGGAGCCGUAGCGAAAGCAAGUCCAAAUAGGGCGUUUAGUCAGUGGGGGUAGACGCGAAACUUUGUGAUCUAUCCAUGAGCAGGUUGAAGGUGUGGUAACACAUACUGGAGGACCGAACCCAUUAACGUUGAAAAGUUCUGGGAUGACUUGUGGAUAGGGGUGAAAGGCCAAUCAAACUGAGAGA